UCCCGUGCAGAGGUGGGAAUGCUUAUACAAGACGAGAAGAUCCUAUGGAUCUUAAGUCGCAUAACUCAACACAUACUAACAUCCAACCUAUUGGAACAAACUGUAUAAGCUACUGAGUUGUAGUCUUUGGUUGGGGUGACCUCAGAGCAUAAAACAACCUCCAAAUGAAUAUAACCUAGAUUAACCAUUCUAAGUGUAAUAAUACCAGUAAUUGACCCAUCUCUUGAUCAAUGGAACAAGUUACCCCAGGGAUAACAGUGCAAUCCUAUUUGAGAGCCCAUAUCGAAAAUUAGGGUUUACUACCUCUAUGUUGGAUCAGGACACCCAAAUGGUGCAACCGCUAUUAAAGGUUCGUUUGUUCAACGAUUAAAGUCCUAUGUGAUCUGAGUUCAGACCGGAGAAAGCCAGGUCAGUUUCUAUCUGUAAAUUU
This 430-nucleotide non-coding RNA is filed under the name Sarcophilus harrisii (Tasmanian devil). RNAcentral describes it as "Bacterial large subunit ribosomal RNA". It matches the Rfam family "Bacterial large subunit ribosomal RNA", at positions 2049 to 2651 of the family's 2925-position model. The record is from Rfam by way of RNAcentral. Lineage: Eukaryota; Metazoa; Chordata; Mammalia; Dasyuromorphia; Dasyuridae.